RNAcentral lists this long non-coding RNA (2940 nucleotides) under Solanum lycopersicum (tomato). RNAcentral describes it as "long non-coding RNA (SLYC_LNC000202)". The record is from RNAcentral. Lineage: Eukaryota; Viridiplantae; Streptophyta; Magnoliopsida; Solanales; Solanaceae.
UUUUUUUGAAUAUAAAGAGAAAUGGCUAUCUUAGGGAUAUAAUUAAAUUAAAACCCAAAAUCAAAUAAAAUAUGUUAGUCCAACAUCAUAAUAAAUAAAUAAGAAAGGGAGGAAAUAUCAAAUUUGGGCCCUAGGCCCAAAUUCUGCUGCUGCAAUUUUCAGGGAAAUUGGGCCUAUUUCCUUCAAAAAAAUCUGCGUAUACACAUUACGUAUACGCUGGUAUACAAGACAUUUGCGACCCAUUUUUGAACCUUUGAAGCCUGCAUUUUGUUGACCCUUAUGUCAUGUAAUUUUUUCUGCCUUUUCACGCCCUUUUGCACCUGUAUAUUGCUGUUUCACAAUGUAUAUCACUGUAUAUGUCUGUAUACAAGCCAUAUUUUCAACUUGUUUUUACAUUUCCAGAAAAGGAAACUUAUUUUCUGUACGGAUUUAUCAAUUUUCCACCUGUACACCUACUUUCCAAUUCACCCCGAUAGCUGACCCGAUGAAGGGGGGUCGACUCAACGAUAUGCAAGGAGGAGAGUUCAAGGGGACUCGGAUGCAAUUUCACAUGCAAAAUAUAAAGUAAAAUAAGAGAUUAACAUCUAUGGAAGGAAAUAAAGUGAUGAAAAAUACUAACAUCUACCAGACAUUAUUAAUAAAAUAACACUUGAACAAUAAUUUAAAGGGAAGUUUCUGAUAAGCAGUGAAGGGAAUAGAAUGUUGGGUUAUGGGCUUUUUCCCUUCCUAUGUGGAUAAAUAAAAGCUCAAUUUGGACCAACCCAUUUUUUGCUCAUAGUCUCAUUCUUAUGAGGCAAAUUUAAGCCUAUUUAGGUCUUAUUUUCAAAUACACAGAGUUUUUCAGCAACCAAAAAGAGAGAAAGAGAACAGUUUUCGCAAUCAAAAUUCAGCCCUAAUAGCCAACUUCAAAUUGCGAUUCCCGCUUCGUUUCUUGUCCGAUUGAGCUGAUUUUUGGACAGCAUAUUAUCUUCAUCUCAAUCUUUGAUUAGGAACUGACAGAGUUGGAUUUGGUGGCCUGCAACUUCAGUUUUUCUGUCAUGAACAGUAGCUGCGAAAUUGGUGAUUCUGCUCCUUUAAUUCUCUAGAUUUGGUGCAAUCUUAUUUUGUUGUUGCUCGUUAUUUGGCACUUGUUUUGUGGCCAAUUUUGGAGAACAAUAUUGUAACUCUUGGUGAUUAUAGUGGAACUUUUGGUCCCGUGGUUUUUUACUCUUCACAUCGAAGGGUUUUCCACGUAAAUCUUGGUGUCUUGUGUGAUUGGUUUAUUAUUGCCUUGUUAUAUUUGUUUGGUUGAAUUACUUGCUGCCUUACAAUUAUAUUGUUUGUGGUUGUUUGUCUUCUCUUGGUUCAAAUCGAAAAGGGAAAGUAUAGACUUGGGUAUUCUUCCGCUGUUAUCUUGUCAGACAUUCUUUGUUAGUGUCUUGUCUUUCCCAACUCCCAAGUAUAACAUACAUACAGAUGCUUUGAACACCAUCCAAGGAAUCACAAUGUGGACUAAAAAAUUAUUUAUUUAUUUUUGCAGACAAAUCGAAAUUCUUUUUUUUAGCCUUUCUAUGAGUAAAUAAUAAAGGAGCUAAAGAGAAUGAAAUCAAAACGUUAAGCUACUAAAAGAUAACCUAAACACAAAAAAAUUCCAGCAUGCAUGAACCACUUUGAGAGAACGCUAAGGCAAGACUUAAUGCAUUUAAACACACAAUGACCAUUACUAUUUGCACAUAACUUAAGUGAAUAGCAAAAACGUCAAGUUUGAGAGUCACAUGCAUGUUAAAUGCAAAUUAAUAAGCCUUUAAUAAAUUUAUCACAAGAUUAAGUGCGGGACUAAGUAGGCAUCAGAAGAGUGGCUAAGAUAACGAGGUUGACUCGAACACAUCAACACUAACCUACACCGACCGAUAAGAAAGAUAACUGACUAACUUAAACUUGAAAAAUAAGUGCCAAACCGAAUCCAUGGAGUGAUUCUUUUGACACGUACAACAAAAUAUGAAUAUCAUUUCCACGAAUAGAGACAGAAAAGCAUUCUGGUAAUUAACAAGUGAAACAAACUAACUAUUGAGGCAAGCACUAUUGUCACGAGCUUGAGGGAAUUAAGAACGGAUAAAAUAAAUUCGAACAUACAUUCAAUUACUUCAAAACGAAAUAUACACUACCAGUUACCGAGAGAAAUAAGGUGAGGGCUAAAGGUAUCAUUUAGAGUACAACAUAUCAAGUAAAAGUAUUUUGAAGCCCAUAAAAACACAACUCAAAUCCAAACGACUACUGGAAACUGAAUGAAUAAAAUAACUGAGAAUUAUUUACCUCUUGAUGAGUAGCGACUGAGACAAUAACAAACCAAGCAGAGACUUCCAUACUUUCGAUGAGAGCUUUCGACAGAAGAAUACGGGAUAUUUUAAAACUGAAGUUUGAUAUCGAAAAUCUUUAAUCUCGCAAAAAAAAAUAGAAAUCAACAACUCUUCUUAUAAAUUUAUAUAAUUGUGUUUGCUUCUAUUCUUCUCCUUUCUAACCCCUAUUUUCCAAUUCUUUUUCGCCAACUCUCUCUACCUAUCUCCCCACUUUUGAAUGAAGAGGGUGAGGGCCUUAAAUAAAGGAAUAUAUGGGUUGAUUAAAAGGGAAAAAGGAAUUGAAUUUUAAAUUUUCAAAUUUUGAAUUUUUUUUGAAGGGAUAAGGUUGGAGAGCUGGGCAGUACUGAUUCCCAACAGAAUUCCAAGGAGCACCGUUCGAUCUGAGGAGCAAGGACGGACGAAACACAAGAUAGAGACACCUGGAAGAUUUGAUACGGAGGAUAAGGGAUGGAGAAGAGGAGACGCACGCUGCUGCUGAACGCAAUUUCUCGCGAUUGAAUCGCGGUUUCCGGGUUUGAUUCGAAGAAGAAGACGAAGUAGGGCGGGUCGAUUUGGUGUUGUACGUAUUCUGAGAUUUUGGAUGGAUGUUUUGUAUUGUUUAAAU